Molecule: ribosomal RNA, 767 nt
Filed under: uncultured bacterium
Lineage: Bacteria
Description: bacterial SSU rRNA
Rfam family: Bacterial small subunit ribosomal RNA
Source: RNAcentral
AGAGUUUGAUCAUGGCUCAGAUUGAACGCUGGCGGAAUGCUUUACACAUGCAAGUCGAACGGCAGCACGGGGGCUUGCUCCUGGUGGCGAGUGGCGAACGGGUGAGUAAUGCGUCGGAACGUACCGAGUAAUGGGGGAUAACGCAGCGAAAGCUGUGCUAAUACCGCAUACGCCCUGAGGGGGAAAGCAGGGGAUCGCAAGACCUUGCGUUAUUCGAGCGGUCGACGUCUGAUUAGCUAGUUGGUGGGGUAAAGGCCUACCAAGGCGACGAUCAGUAGCGGGUCUGAGAGGAUGAUCCGCUACACUGGAACUGAAACACGGUCCAGACUCCUACGGGAGGCAGCAGUGGGGAAUUUUGGACAAUGGGGGAAACCCUGAUCCAGCCAUUCCGCGUGAGUGAAGAAGGCCUUCGGGUUGUAAAGCUCUUUCAGCUGGAAAGAAACGGUGCGCUCUAACAUAGCGUGCUAAUGACGGUAUCAGCAGAAGAAGCACCGGCUAACUACGUGCCAGCAGCCGCGGUAAUACGUAGGGUGCGAGCGUUAAUCGGAAUUACUGGGCGUAAAGCGUGCGCAGGCGGAUUGUUUAAGCAAGAUGUGAAAUCCCCCGGGCUUAACUGGGAAUGGCAUUUUUGAACUGGCAGUCUAGAGUGUGUCAGAGGGGGGUGGAAUUCCACGUGUAGCAGUGAAAUGCGUAGAUAUGUGGAGGAACACCUAUGGCGAAGGCUGCCCCCUGGGAUAACACUGACGCUCAUGUACGAAAGCGUGGGU